UAUUGUCAUGUGCAGACAAGUGUUUGAAGUAGAUCUGGUCGAUCCAACACCAAUAUUCCUUUGGACUUAAACCCAUUCAAUCAUUAAUUUUACAGUUUCACAUUUUGAGCCCAGACUGUAUCUGUGAAACUACAACCAACCAGCAUUUAGGACUGGAUUAGUCUGGAUCAGACUCACACCUGGUCCAAUGGCACUACUUUUAUUCUGGAAGUAUUUGGUUUGUAGACCAGUGGAAUUCAAAACAUG
This is a long non-coding RNA of Sphaeramia orbicularis (orbiculate cardinalfish), 246 nucleotides long. RefSeq lists it as uncharacterized. The record is from RefSeq and is a predicted model, not a curated record. NCBI's taxonomy places the organism in Eukaryota, Metazoa, Chordata, Actinopteri, Kurtiformes, Apogonidae. The transcript has 3 exons.